GUGAACCUCAGGAUAACCAGAAAGACUAAUAUUAGCGUAGAUGCCAUUCUUCUUCUGAUGUAACGAGUACAUCAGGCGUUAUAGGAAGUGUUCCCGGUUCCGGCUGACCUAAUUUAUGCAGCCUAAUAAUCCUUUAACAGAUUUGAAAAUAUAAAUUGGUAAUGUGUUAUGUGUAUGCCAAGUUAAAGAAAUGCGUUUUUAGUCUAGAUUUAAACUGACAGAGUGUGUCUGCUUCCCGAACAAUGCUAGGAAGAUUGUUCCAGAGUUUAGGUGCCAAAUAGGAGAAGGAUCUACCGCCUGCGGUUGAUUUUGAUAUUCUAGGUAUUAUCAGCUGGCCUGAAUUCUGAGAUCGCAAUAGACGUGAAGGACUAUAAUGAAUUAGGAGCUCGCUCAGGUACUGGGGAGCUAAACCAUUUAGUGCUUUGUAAGUAAUUAGCAAGAUUUUAAAAUCUAUACGAUGUUUAACAGGAAGCCAAUGCAGUGUUGACAGAACUGGGCUAAUAUGGUCAUACUUCCUAGUUCUAGUAAGAACUCUAGCUGCUGCAUUUUGUACGAGCUGUAGUUUAUUUAUCAGGCGAGCAGAACAACCACCCAGUAGAGCGUUACAGUAAUCUAGCCUUGAGUCAAGUCAAGUCAAGUCACCUUUAUUUAUAUAGCGCUUUUUACAAUGUAGAUUGUGUCAAAGCAGCUUUACAUUGAUAACUGGUACAUUAUUUGGCUGCACAGCAGCUCUUAAAAGAAUAGUGUCAAUGCAGGCAGAUCAAAGCACUGUUGAAUAUCAAAUGUCAAGUCAAAUGUCAAGUGUCCCCAACUAAGCAAGCCAAAGGCGACAGCGGCAAGGAACCCAAACUCCAUCAGGUGACAUCAGGUGGCAGACAAGUGGCAAAUAGGUGUUUAAAUGGAGAAAAAAACCUUGGGAGAAACCAGGCUUAGUCGGGGGGCCAGUUCUCCUCUGGCCAACAGUGCUUUGUUACGAUUCAGGUAGCUAUCAUAAGUCCGACAGGAUCGCAACAUUCAAAGCAUUUAUUCCAGUUCCAUCCAACUGAGGAUUGUAUUCAUCACGGCUGUUGAGGAACUGUGUCGUGGCUGUCGUGUCGAUGAGGCCCUCACAGUGGAUGAUCUAGUUGACUCAAUCUCUGCUGAUACUUCAGGGCUGCGUUGUGGUCGUGUCAAGGCGCAGGUCCUUGGUCUCACCUGGAUACGGCCUGGAUCCGGUUGACUACGGUGAACCUCGGGAUAACCAGAAAGACUAAUAUUAGUGUAGAUGCCAUUCUUCUUCUGAUGUAACAAGUACAUCAGGUGUUAUAGGAAGUGUUCCCGGUUCCGGCUGACCUAAUUUAUGCAGCCUAAUAAUCCUUUAACAGAUUUGAAAAUAUAAAUUGGUAAUGUGUUAUGUGUAUGCCAGGUUAAAGAGAUGCGUUUUUAGUCUAGAUUUAAACUGACAGUGUGUCUGCUUCCCGAACAAUGCUAGGAAGAUUGUUCCAAAGUUUAGGUGCCAAAUAGGAGAAGGAUCUACCGCCUGCAGUUGAUUUUGAUAUUCUAGGUAUUAUCAGCUGGCCUGAAUUCUGAGAUCGCAAUAGACGUGAAGGACUAUAAUGCAUUAAGAGCUCGCUCAGGUACUGGGGAGCUAAACCAUUUAGUGCUUUGUAAGUAAUUAGCAAGAUUUUAAAAUCUAUACGAUGUUUAAUAGGAAGCCAAUGCAGUGUUGACAGAACUGGGCUAAUAUGGUCAUACUUCCUAGUUCUAGUAAGA
Molecule: long non-coding RNA, 1752 nt
Organism: Ctenopharyngodon idella (grass carp)
Lineage: Eukaryota; Metazoa; Chordata; Actinopteri; Cypriniformes; Xenocyprididae
Exons: 3
Source: RefSeq, a predicted model, not a curated record